This 973-nucleotide ribosomal RNA is filed under the name Lepidotrema longipenis. RNAcentral's name for it is "16S ribosomal RNA". The stretch from base 637 to 922 matches the Rfam family "Bacterial large subunit ribosomal RNA", at positions 2075 to 2645 of the family's 2925-position model. Lineage: Eukaryota; Metazoa; Platyhelminthes; Monogenea; Dactylogyridea; Diplectanidae. The record is from RNAcentral.
GUUUUUUAUAAGUGAUAUCAAAUAGUUUUUAUUAAAGGUUACCUUUUGUAUCAUGAUUAAAUUAUUAAUUUUGUUUAUUGACAAAAUCUCGAAAUAAACUGAUUUAAUUUGAUAUUUUUGCUUGGGUAAAGUAAUGUAUAAAUAUCAUAUUCGUUGUGAUAAAUUAGUCGAAGUUUAUUAUAACUAGAUAACAAAUGAAGAGUUUAAGCAUUAAAUUAGCUUUGAGGUUAAUUUAAUUUUUAUAAAUUUUAUUUAUAUGUAAUUUUUAGUGGGUUUAAAAGUCACUUAACUAGUUAAGUGUUAAAACUAAAUUUGUUUUAUAAAUUUAAUUUUAUAUAAUUUUUGUUUGUAUUUAAUUAUUUAAUAAAUAUAUGUUUAAAUAAGUAGUAAAAUAAUGUAUUAAUAUCUCGUUUUAAGCUGUAAUGUUUAUUAAAAACAUUUCUAUAUACAUGUUUAUAUAGUAUAGCCUGCUCAGUGUGUAAGUUUAUAUAAAUAGCCGCAGUAUUUUGACUGUGCUAAGGUAGCAUAAUUGCUUGUCCCUUAAAUAGGGAAUUGUUUGAAUGGCUGAAUAAGUUUAAUUAAGAUUUAUAUAUUUUGAUGAAAUUAGUUUAUGAGUCAAGAAUCUCAUAGUAUAAUAUAAGACGGAAAGACCCCGAGAACUUUUAUUAUAUUUUAUUUGGGGCAAAUUUAUUAUUUUAAUUAAAUUUAGAACCAGAUUUUUAUCUGUUUAUUGAAUAAGUUACCUCGGGGAUAACAGGGUAAGAAAUAAAGAGAGUACACAUCGAUUUAUUUAAUUGCUACCUCGAUUUUGACUUAAGUAUAACAUAUUGGCGCAGAAGCUUUUUAUGUAGGCCUGUUCGGCCUUUAAAUACUUUCAUGAGUUGAGUUAAGACCGGUGUAAGCCAGGUUGGUUCUUAUCUAUAUUGGUAUUUUUAUAGUACGAAAGGAUUUAAAAAUAUUUAUGUUAAUUAUA